GCGUUCUUCGGCGGCGGACGCUGGGAAGCGAGGACACCCAGCGCGCGGUCUGCUUCUGUUGGGUUCUUCGGCGGCGUCCGAGAGUGUUGGGUCUCCUUCUGUUGGGAAGCGAGAGGUUGAAGCUUUGGCCAUUAGGGUAAAACUAUUUCCGUGACAUUUGGGUUUUCUGGAAUGGCUCCCUUCGGGGACCAGAAAUUUAGCUCGUAGACAUUUCCGGACAGCUUCCUUUUUUUCAGGGGCCACGUUUCUCUCUUGCUCUCAAUAACAAAAUGGUAAGCUUCACGACAUACGUCAUUAUGUGUCCUUAAUACAUGUUCAUAAUUUUUUACAUUUUUGUCUAACCUUGCAACUUUUAGUAUAAACGUGGAGGUCACAUGCGUCGUGGUGAUGCUUCACAAAGAAGACCAGGCCUUUCCACUUCCUCGUCCUCGUCCUCGUCCCUUUCCAUUUCCCCUGCCCC
Molecule: long non-coding RNA, 460 nt
Organism: Syzygium oleosum
Lineage: Eukaryota; Viridiplantae; Streptophyta; Magnoliopsida; Myrtales; Myrtaceae
Exons: 3
Source: RefSeq, a predicted model, not a curated record